CCUGUCUCUUUCUGCCUCGCUGUUGAACCGGAGUGGACACGUGCGUGCAUUUAGCAGGCAGGACGAUGUGCUUUCUUCGCCAUGCCCAGUUUCCGGACCUCGCGCUCCAGAUGGACUGGAUUCUGUGGAGUCUGCCUGAGGGAUGAACUGCCUGAAAUCAGCCGCUUUGACCAGAGGACCCCCCCCCCAACUUCCUGUUCAUAACUUGGACAAACGACUUUUGCCGUAGUUAUUGUCGAUAGUUUGCCCAGAGGUCCCAUCCAGAGUCCCGUCGCCCUGGUAACGGGAUGGAUGUGUUUGCUGAGGAUCACUGUGAUUUGGGGAAAUGCCCACUUUGCCAUAGUUUGCCCAGAGGUCCCAUCCAGAGUCCCGUCGCCACGGUAACAGGAUGUCUGAGAGUUUGCUGAGGAUCACUGUGAUUGGGGAAAUGCCCACUAACACGCCCCAUGGGCUACCGACUGCAUUCCACAGCAAAGAGGAGAGCAGCUGAUUGGGUAGACUGCAUUCUACAGCUGAUUGGGUAGAGACUGAAGUGGUUACAUGCAGGAAGCUGAUUGGCCGGUUGCGUUCUGACCCUUGUGAUGUAAUUGACAUAUGUAUGUCACUUUAGAUUAAAAGUGUGUGCUAAAUAGGUGUAUUAAAAGUGUGUGCUAAA
Molecule: long non-coding RNA, 655 nt
Organism: Alosa alosa (allis shad)
Lineage: Eukaryota; Metazoa; Chordata; Actinopteri; Clupeiformes; Clupeidae
Exons: 6
Source: RefSeq, a predicted model, not a curated record